UGUAAGAUUCUAGAAUUUUCUACAAAGCUUUCCCCCACAAAACAGGUCCAUAAGAUAAGAAACUCCAAUUCGCAGGCGUGUUAAAUUUGCUACAUCUAAUCAAAUUUAAUUUUUGAAUACUAGCCAAAUCAAUCAGCGCAAGUUACCGAAUGAUUUUGGUGUUACCAUCCCAGCCAAUACUGUUUGGCUUUCAACCAAUACUGCUUGGCUCUAGUUUUUCACAAAAUCUCCUCCUCUGCCACAAUUAUCAACGGUAGUGUGCGGGAUGCACCAUCAAAAUACAUCUCCCAGUGUGGGCCGAUGCUUUCGGUCAACAUCACCUCUUCAUCAGGUAGAUUGGUGAUUAAUGGAGAGUCGUCGGGGAGAGGGUGAGCAGCUAGGAAAUCGGCCAGUGCUUGCCCUUUGAUGGCCUUCUGAGGCACGUAGGUGAUGUCGAACUCCAUCAUCAAUACUGCCCACUUGCCAAUCCCCAGAAGAAAGAAGAAAGCGCCUCUUGAAAGCAUUCUUUGAAAGCCUCAAUUCCUCUCUCACUCACGAUGAAAGCUAAGAGCUUGCUCGAAGACAGCCCAAGACGGGGAUUUGACCUCUUCUUGUUGAAUUGAUUCAGAUAGACUCCAAAAAUCGCAAGAUCAUGUCGAGAAAGUAGAAAAGCCACAGGCUCUCGUUCAUCUUACCAUCUUGUUAGAAAAAACUAAAUUUUUUAGUUUUGAUGGUCCUCUAAAACAAAUUCUUGUCCUUGGAUUAUUGAUUCUGGCUGAGUUACUCCAAAUGGGGGGAUUCAUUCUCCCUUUUUGGAUGGCAUCAUCCAUGGAGGGGAGUCAGAUUUCUGCGGAUUCCAAAAAAAAGAGAAUCAUUUUCUUUCAUGCGUCUCAGUUUAUUCUUUUUCUUGCUAGGGCUUUGAAAGCAAGAACAUCCUGCUUCCUGCUGUGUUCGGGAUCCAGAUCGGGAUCGGGAUAAAGAGUUGGCCGGAUUGAAAGAGCGAGCGCGGGUGAUCAAACUUCUUGGAAAAAUCUAUGCGAGGCAGACAGCUAGCUAUUUUGCUUGACAAGUUCUAUUAAACAAUGAAGCCUAGCUGAGAUACUGGAUGCUUACCGAAAGAGGGGAAUUGCAAAUAUUUUUUUCUCUUUUUUCCAAAUUUUAUGAAAAAUUAUGUUUUUAUUUUCUUUUUUUUUUUGAAAAAUGGAUGUUAUAAAAAUAUUAUGUUCUUUUCAUGCUUUUAUAAGAACCAAUCAACCAAAUAGACAAAUAUCUCUUACCAGAUUUCGGAAAAACCAAACACCCCCUUACAAAAUUAAGGGCCACCGUGGCAUGCAACCCACCCAAUGGGGCCAGAGAGAGAGAGAGAGAGAGAGAGAGAGAGAGACCAAAAAAAAAAAAAA
This is a long non-coding RNA of Ananas comosus (pineapple), 1379 nucleotides long. RefSeq lists it as uncharacterized. The transcript has 2 exons. NCBI's taxonomy places the organism in Eukaryota, Viridiplantae, Streptophyta, Magnoliopsida, Poales, Bromeliaceae. The record is from RefSeq and is a predicted model, not a curated record.